GACUACAUGAAGCUGGAAUCGCUAGUAAUCGCGGAUCAGAAUGCCGCGGUGAAUACGUUCCCGGGUCUUGUACACACCGCCCGUCACACCAUGGGAGUCGGAAAUGCCCGAAGCCUGUGACCCAACCCGCAAGGGGGGGAGCAGUCGAAGGCGGGGCCGGUGACUGGGGUGAAGUCGUAACAAGGUAGC
RNAcentral lists this ribosomal RNA (189 nucleotides) under uncultured bacterium. RNAcentral describes it as "partial 16S ribosomal RNA". It matches the Rfam family "Bacterial small subunit ribosomal RNA", at positions 1314 to 1500 of the family's 1533-position model. The record is from RNAcentral.